UUUGUUUUGUUUUUUUCCCUGGUUCUUUUCUUUCUUCGUCUUUUCGUCUGUAUCCAAUUUUUUUCAAUGCAUUCACGAAGAGAUGAUGAGUAGAAGAGAGAAGAGAAA
Molecule: non-coding RNA, 108 nt
Filed under: Chromera velia
Lineage: Eukaryota; Chromeraceae
Source: RNAcentral